AGGUUUAGUUGAGUUGAGUUAAGUAUUGUCUGUAUAUUUCAGUGAUUGCAUGUGUCUGUCUGCAUGGUCUUGUUUUUCCUUGAUACUUCCCAUUUGCUACUGAACUUUUCCCUGGCUUAAAGUGAGCAAUUUCGUGUGCACUUCUGUUUCAUGAUUGCUUCAUGCUUCUUGGAGUCCAUUCACUUGGUCAAUCUUUCAGUGUCAGUGUUUGACUGAAUUUGGGUAGUUUUUCUGGGAUAAAAUGCUGGAAUAAUGAUUGUUGCAAAUUGCAAUGGAUUCCCUGUUUGUUAAUGGUUUCUUAAGUUCGUGAAGGGUUACCACAUUUUGUGUUGUUUUCCAUAACCAAUUUGGAAAAAUUAUGUGGAUUGUGCCCAUUUAUGUGCUCAUUAGGUUGCCGUGUAUAUUACUGGGGUGGUGUGCCCACUUGAAGAUGUUAGGAAACUAUAGCUUCACUGUAACCUAGAGAGAGAUUUUUAAUUUACUAAUGCCGUUUUUGGGAGAAGGGAGGAAAGGGAGGAGGAAAGAAAAUUGAAGGGCUGACAUCUUAAGAUCUAAAUUUGUGAGCUCCACAACUCAUUUUCUCUCCUCCCCUUUCCCCUUACCAAACACAGCAUAAAUGGUUUUCUCAAAAUGUGAGUGAUACGAGUCGACGGAUUUCUUCUUUUGAACUAUGGAUAUGUAUACCUUCUAACUGGGAACCUCCUUUAUAUACAUGUCAGUAGUCAUAUCUAAAUUGAAUUAGAGUGCAGAUUUUUUAUUGGGAAAAGAUUAUUUGUUUUGUGAUAAUGCCUGCAGGAUCAUCUAUCUUGAUGAAUUGAUAAUCCCCAAUUAAGUGGUGCGACAACCUUUGUGGUUCAGUUCAAUGAUACAUAUUCUGAGUUACUGUAGAUAUAUUUUCAAAGUGAAUACUAUAGAUACAUUUUCAAGUAGCGUAUUGUGAAUCUUUGAAAAAAUGGUUAAUAAAUCAACAUGUUGCAGAACUCUUGAAUGCAUCAUGUCCAGAUGUGCAUGAGACUUGAGAGUCUUCAUAAGAUGCUUCUUCCUCUGAUGUUCCUUAUUCAGUUCCCUCUUAAAAAAAAAAGAAUAAAAUUUCUAUUUAGGAUGAUUUCUUUUGAUUUUCAUCCAAUUAUUACUGUAAAGGCUAGUUAGGUCUACUCUUGGGGUAAUAUUUUGAUAUCUUUCCUUAUCCACAUGAAUUCACUCGCAUAUAAUAAAAGGGGAAAAGCAUAUGUAUCCUUUGAAUCAUGGUAAUUGGUUUCUGCCCUUCUCUUUGCUCUGCACCAUGAUGUAAUAGCUCACACUCCUGUUAUGUAAUUGUGUAUGAAAUCCUUAUUGCUGAACUUUAAAUAUGAUAAUUCCUAUCAAAAUAAUGAUCUCAUUUCUGAUUCUGAAUAUAUUACAGGUGAUGUAGGUGCUCUAGGUUGGUGGGACUUGUUCAUAAAUUUUGGUAUUGCAGAGUGCUUUGCGUUUCUUGUUUGUACAAAAUGGUCAAAUCCAGUGAUUCAUCGAAAUUCCCAGACAACAGAAGUUAGUUCAUCUUCUACAACUAUUAGGUAUCUGGACUGGAACAGUGGCAUAGUAGUUUCUCCAGAGGAGAAUCAACUUCAGGAUAGAAUGUGUGGCCUGCAAGACAUUGGUGGCCAUAUCAUGAAAAUUCCAUUAAUUGCUUUUCAAGUCCUCCUUUGUAUGCAUUUAGAGGGAACACCUGCUGGUGCAAAAAAUAUCCCACUUCCAAUUCUUUUCUCUCCCCUUUUCAUACUUCAAGGUGCUGGUGUGCUAUUUGCUGCAUCCAAGUUGGUGGAGAAGCUUAUUCUUUUACUAAGAAGUGAAUCUAGCUCGGGAAUAUAUUUUAGAUUUUCUUCACGGGCUCAUGACUGCUUGGGGUUCUUGCACCAUGGUUCUAGGCUACUGGGUUGGUGGUCAAUUGAUGAGGGAAGUCGAGAGGAAAAGGCCCGACUUUACCACGAGGGAGCCUCUGGCUACAACACUUUUUGUGGUUAUCCUCCUGAGAUAGUGAAGAAAAUGCCUAAAAAGGAUCUCGCCGAGGAGGUCUGGAGGCUUCAAGCUGCCCUUGGUGAACAGACAGAAAUCACCAAAUAUAGCCAGCAGGCGUUUGAAAGACUUCAAAAUGAAAAAGUCUUAUGUAGGGUUUGCUUCGAGGGAGAGAUCAGCGUGGUUCUACUUCCCUGUAGACAUCGCAUCCUUUGCAGUGCCUGCUGUGAAAAGUGUAAGAAGUGUCCAAUUUGUCGAAUCUGUAUUGAGGAGCGCUUGCCGGUGUAUGAUGUUUAGGUUCUAACUUGUCCAGCCCUUUUUGUAUUAUGGAUAAGAAAGCAUAGAGAAGGUGAAAUAACUUUUAACAGGGAAGUUCUCUUUUUAUGGUUAUCUGGGACUUCUACGACAAUGUUUGUUCAAAUUGACACGAGAAAGCAUGAGGAUAUACAGAGAACACACUUGCUGUACUUAUAUCUCAACACCUCUUUUUGUGUUCCAGCAAGAAACUGUAAAUAAUUCUGAGUUUGAUCAGUGUAUUGUUCAAGUCCUGAGCUUUUGUUAUGCUACAGAGAUCACUAGAAAGGUAAGAGCUGUAUAUUAUACUAACUGUAUAGACAUGACUGUUGAAUUUGAGGUGCAUAAUUUCAGAGCUUGUGCUUUAUGGUGGGUGCAACAAUACGUUAGUAUCACUCUGUAUGCAUUGAAGAUCAUUUUUUCAGGUAUGGCUUGGUAUUUUCAUAUCCUGGAAAGACAUGAAUUUUUCUGAAAGUGUAUUUUGUUUUUGUAUUUGUUGCCCUUCAUGUUCUCCGCCAUGGUACGGUUCGAGUUGGAACUGGCCUGGUCAUUAGAUUAGAACCAGAGCUUCAUGGGUUUGAAUCAUAUUGAAACAAUUUCCCUCCCUUGAAUUGGACUGGAAUUGGACGAGGCUGUUUUCUUCUGGUUCGGACGUAAUCGACA
RNAcentral lists this unclassified non-coding RNA (2949 nucleotides) under Hevea brasiliensis (rubber tree). Lineage: Eukaryota; Viridiplantae; Streptophyta; Magnoliopsida; Malpighiales; Euphorbiaceae. The record is from RNAcentral.